GACGAACGCUGGCGGCAUGCCUAACACAUGCAAGUCGAACGGGGAUACGAGAGCUUGCUUUUGUAUCUUAGUGGCGGACGGGCGAGUAACGCGUGAGCAACCUGCCCUUCAGUGGGGAAUAACGUCUGGAAACGGACGCUAAUACCGCAUAACACAACGAAGCCGCAUGACUUUGUUGUCAAAGGAUUUAUUCGCUGAAGGAUGGGCUCGCGUCCGAUUAGCUAGAUGGUGGGGUAAAGGCUCACCAUGGCGACGAUCGGUAGCCGAACUGAGAGGUUGAUCGGCCGCAUUGGGACUGAGACACGGCCCAG
RNAcentral lists this ribosomal RNA (311 nucleotides) under uncultured bacterium. RNAcentral's name for it is "bacterial SSU rRNA". It matches the Rfam family "Bacterial small subunit ribosomal RNA", at positions 28 to 334 of the family's 1533-position model. The record is from RNAcentral.